Molecule: long non-coding RNA, 927 nt
Filed under: Trifolium pratense (red clover)
Lineage: Eukaryota; Viridiplantae; Streptophyta; Magnoliopsida; Fabales; Fabaceae
Description: long non-coding RNA (TPRA_LNC002641)
Source: RNAcentral
AAUUUUUUCUCAACUCUAAACUCUGUUAAUUUGUCUUGCUGCCAGCUUGCAACUCAUGGUGAUGUUGUAGAUGUUAAAGGACUGUCUAAAGGUCUUGUCUCUUGUAAAGUUUCGGAAUUUAUUUAUGCUAAUCUGAAGAAACUCAAGGUACUGAAUUUUAGCUUUGCUCUAAUUUAUUAAUGAUAAUUUGAAGAAGCUUAAUGGUUAGUUUCUUGUGAAGGUUCUAUUUUUAAUUAAACUGCUUGUGAACUUUUAAGAUUUCAUUGAUAAAAACAGAAAUAAAACAAUGGAACAUUUUAUUCAUAUAAAUAAACAGGUUAUGAUCUUACUUAUGUAGUGAAUUUUACACUGAUUACAUUUUAUUCAGUUUAAACUUAUUUAUAAUUUUACUAAUGUAGUGCAUAUGAGAGAUAAAGCAAUGGAGGAUCACAAGGAAUUUAAACUGAUUCUGAAUUCUUGUCAUGGUAUGAUAUUCUUAGUUGUGAAUUCUUGUUACUGAGUUGAAAACUGAUUUUGAAUUUUUGCAGUUAAGUUACUAUUUUUCUUUCUAAUUAGCAGCACUAAUAAUGUUAUGUUAAUAAAUUUGCAGGAUGCCUCAAUCUUUUACUGAUUUUUAGUGCACAAGAGAUUGGCCAUAUGUUCUUAACAAUUGACAACAAAACUUUGUAAUAUUUGAUACAUUUAAAUUUCAUUUAGGUUGGCUGUGAUGUGAGCUUUCAAUGAUGAAUAUGUUGUAAUAUUUUAUUGUAUUUAUAGUUCUAAUGCCUCUAAACUUUGGAAUUAUGUGGUCCAAUGGAGGAUUUAUUUUCGAUUUGUAUGUUAUUAAUACUUUAAUGCCUCCAAAGCUUGGAAAUAUGUGGCAUACUGGAGAAUUUAUAUUAUUAAGUUUUAUAUUUUGAUGUUCAGUUUAUCAGGGAGAAAAGAGGG